AAACAUGCGAAGAAUCCAACUUUUCUGGACUACCUAUUACAUAAUUUCUUAGAGAUAAAACCAAAAUUUCUUGAUAUAACUGCAGCAUUUAUUAUUAUUAUUAAUAACGUAUAUUCCGUACAUUUAAUUCAGAAAAUAAACGGAUACGUUGAAUGGUUGAAGCGCAAUGCGAACUUAAUUGAUGAAAUAAAGAAAAGGUAAAUUUAAUCAAUAUU
Nylanderia fulva is the source of this 215-nucleotide non-coding RNA. Lineage: Eukaryota; Metazoa; Arthropoda; Insecta; Hymenoptera; Formicidae. The record is from RefSeq and is a predicted model, not a curated record.